ACAAAUCUGCUAUGCGGCCGAGUCUUCGGACUUGACGCAUAUAUUAGCCCCGAGCCUGGCAGUAAUGUCGGCUUUGGUUGGGUGGGACGCAAGUCCUGCUCCGGUUGUGUGAGGACGCAAGUCCUUGCCAGCCACAUAGACGCUUGUAUGUUUGACAGAGUUACAGUUGUAAAACUAAAAUGA
RNAcentral lists this unclassified non-coding RNA (183 nucleotides) under soil metagenome. RNAcentral describes it as "partial internal transcribed spacer 1". The record is from RNAcentral.